GAUGAACGCUGGCGGUAUGCUUAACACAUGCAAGUCGAACGGACUCUUCGGAGUUAGUGGCGGACGGGUGAGUAACGCGUGAGAAUCUGGCUUUGGGUUCGGGACAACCACUGGAAACGGUGGCUAAUACCGGAUGUGCCGAGAGGUAAAAGAGAAAUUGCCUGAAGAUGAGCUCGCGUCUGAUUAGCUAGUUGGUGAGGUAAAGGCUCACCAAGGCAGCGAUCAGUAGCUGGUCUGAGAGGAUGACCAGCCACACUGGGACUGAGACACGGCCCAGACUCCUACGGGAGGCAGCAGUGGGGAAUUUUCCGCAAUGGGCGAAAGCCUGACGGAGCAAUACCACGUGAGGGAAGAAGGCUCUUGGGUUGUAAACCUCUUUUCUUAGGGAAGAACAAAAUGACGGUACCUAAGGAAUCAGCAUCGGCUAACUCCGUG
This 435-nucleotide ribosomal RNA is filed under the name uncultured bacterium. Its description in RNAcentral is "partial 16S ribosomal RNA". It matches the Rfam family "Bacterial small subunit ribosomal RNA", at positions 28 to 507 of the family's 1533-position model. The record is from RNAcentral.